RNAcentral lists this ribosomal RNA (499 nucleotides) under uncultured Glomeromycotina. RNAcentral describes it as "partial small subunit ribosomal RNA". It matches the Rfam family "Eukaryotic small subunit ribosomal RNA", at positions 591 to 1092 of the family's 1831-position model. The record is from RNAcentral. Lineage: Eukaryota; Fungi; Glomeromycota.
CCAAUAGCGUAUAUUAAAGUUGUUGCAGUUAAAAAGCUCGUAGUUGAAUUUCGCGAUCAAAUUGUUGGUCGUGCCUCGGUACGUACUGGCAUUAUUGAUUUCUCCUUUCUGAAGAACCAUGAUGUCAUUAAUUUGGUGUCUUGGUGAAUCAGGACUGUUACUUUGAAAAAAUUAGAGUGUUUAAAGCAGGCUCACGCUUGAAUACAUUAGCAUGGAAUAAUGAAAUAGGACGUUUGAUUCUAUUUUGUUGGUUUCUAGGAUCGACGUAAUGAUUAAUAGUGAUAGUUGGGGGAAUUAUUAUUCAAUUGUCGUAGGUGAAAUUCUUGGAUUUAUUGAAGACUAACUACUGCGAAAGCAUUUGCCAAGGAUGUUUUCAUUAAUCAAGAACGAAAGUUAGGGGAUCGAAGACGAUCAGAUACCGUCGUAGUCUUAACCAUAAACUAUGCCGACUAGGGAUCGGAUGAUGUUAAUUUUUUAAUGACUCAUUCGGCGCCUUACG